AUACGGAGGAUGCGAGCGUUAUCCGGAUUUAUUGGGUUUAAAGGGAGCGUAGGCGGAUUGUUAAGUCAGUUGUGAAAGUUUGCGGCUCAACCGUAAAAUUGCAGUUGAAACUGGCAGUCUUGAGUACAGUAGAGGGGGGCGGAAUUCGUGGUGUAGCGGUGAAAUGCUUAGAUAUCACGAAGAACUCCGAGUGCGAAGGCAGCUCACUAGACUGUUACUGACACUGAUGCUCGAAAGUGUGGGUAGCAAACAGGAUUAGAUACCCUGGUAGUCCACACAGUAAACGAUGAAGACUCGGGGUUUGCGAUAUAUAGUAAGCGGCCAAGCGAAAGCAUGAAGUAUUCCCCGUGGGGAGUACGCCGGCAACGGUGAAACUCAAAUGAAUUGACGGGG
This 393-nucleotide ribosomal RNA is filed under the name uncultured bacterium. RNAcentral's name for it is "partial 16S ribosomal RNA". It matches the Rfam family "Bacterial small subunit ribosomal RNA", at positions 523 to 918 of the family's 1533-position model. The record is from RNAcentral.